CUCCUACGGGGGGCAGCAGUGAGGAAUAUUGGUCAAUGGGCGGAAGCCUGAACCAGCCAAGUCGCGUGAGGGAAUAAGGCCCUACGGGUCGUAAACCUCUUUUGCCGGGGAGCAAGGGCCGGGACGCGUCCCGGCCCGGAGAGUACCCGGAGAAAAAGCAUCGGCUAACUCCGUGCCAGCAGCCGCGGUAAUACGGAGGAUGCGAGCGUUAUCCGGAUUUAUUGGGUUUGAAGGGUGCGUAGGCGGGCUUUUAAGUCAGCGGUAAAAAUUCGGGGCUCAACCCCGUCCGGCCGUUGCAACUGGGG
This 305-nucleotide ribosomal RNA is filed under the name uncultured bacterium. RNAcentral describes it as "bacterial SSU rRNA". It matches the Rfam family "Bacterial small subunit ribosomal RNA", at positions 336 to 638 of the family's 1533-position model. The record is from RNAcentral.